ACCAAAAAGAGAAGCCACUGACUUCAGGAAGCAAAGCCUUGGUGACAGAGGGCUAUAGUUCCUGAUUGAAGGGCUGUGGAUCUGGGAGGCCAUGACAGGCUCUCUAGACUCGAGUGCUACUACAGGACACCUAGGCUCUUCCGCCUCUGGCUGGCAACGAAUGCCAAGCAGGCUCAACAAGGAGAGGCAUCUGCACUUCUUCAGUACCCCACCCUGAUGGGGUGGACCAAAGAAGACCAUAUGAGGACCCACUAUUCAGCCUACCCCAAAACUGUCAACUCUGAUGGCCCAGAGGAAGAUCCAAACUGGGUGGGAUGUCCAAGAAAUGAAGACUGUAUUUAGAAGAAUGUUUUUUAAUUAGACUUGUCAAUUAGGACUGGAAGGCAA
RNAcentral lists this long non-coding RNA (387 nucleotides) under Rattus norvegicus (Norway rat). RNAcentral describes it as "long non-coding RNA NONRATT023443". The record is from RNAcentral. Lineage: Eukaryota; Metazoa; Chordata; Mammalia; Rodentia; Muridae.